UUGCUAAUUAGAAUAUAAGUGUCGUCUGCUUCGUUUUCGUUUCAAUUUCUCGAUUUCAAUAUUUCAAAGUUUCGAAAAGGAGACCAGGAUCGGAGACUGAGAUUUCAAACUUGUUUGGACGUGGAUGCUCGAAAAUAAAAUUACAUAAAUGUGGUCGUCGUCAUGUCAACUUCAGUGUCGCAGCUCUUCAUGCUCUCCAUGCUGUUUGGCAGAUUUGAGGCCUGAGCCAGCCAUCGUAGCGGCAAUAAAGUUUUGCUUGCGCUGGACCUCCAGUCAUAUGAUUUGACUGAUGACCUCCUGCCAUCAAUCACUGUUUUAUCGCUCAGAUAAACAGCAUCCUGUUUCAUUGGAGAAACUUCCAGUGUCGACCGAGUCAAGGAUCCCUUCAAUUCCCCUUUCUUUAAAUGUCCUCGUGUAUGCCCAUGUGAAUGUGGGUGUAUUCACGAGGACUUCCUUUUCCCUUAUUCCGUUUGAUGGUGGAUUCAACAUUUCAGCGGAUG
Daphnia pulex (common water flea) is the source of this 500-nucleotide long non-coding RNA. RefSeq lists it as uncharacterized. The record is from RefSeq and is a predicted model, not a curated record. The transcript is spliced from 3 exons. NCBI's taxonomy places the organism in Eukaryota, Metazoa, Arthropoda, Branchiopoda, Diplostraca, Daphniidae.